This 466-nucleotide ribosomal RNA is filed under the name uncultured bacterium. RNAcentral describes it as "bacterial SSU rRNA". It matches the Rfam family "Bacterial small subunit ribosomal RNA", at positions 28 to 507 of the family's 1533-position model. The record is from RNAcentral.
GACGAACGCUGGCGGCGUGCCUAACACAUGCAAGUCGAACGAAGAAUGUUUUUCGGAAUAUUCUUAGUGGCGGACGGGUGAGUAACGCGUGAACAAUCUGCCCCGUACAAAGGGAUAGCCUCGGGAAACCCGGGAUUAAAACCAUAUAACGCUUUAGUACCGCAUGGUAAUAAAGUCAAAUCGAUUAAGAGGUAUGGGAUGAGUUCGCGUCUGAUUAGCUAGUUGGUGAGGUAAGGGCUCACCAAGGCGACGAUCAGUAGCCGGCCUGAGAGGGUGAACGGCCACACUGGAACUGAGACACGGCCCAAACUCCUACGGGAGGCAGCAGUGAGGGAUAUUGCACAAUGGGCGAAAGCCUGAUGCAGCGACGCCGCGUGAGGGAUGACGGUCUUCGGAUUGUAAACCUCUGUCCUUGGUGAAGAAGAAAGUGACGGUAGCCAAGGAGGAAGCCACGGCUAACUACGUG